Molecule: non-coding RNA, 4930 nt
Organism: Doryrhamphus excisus (bluestripe pipefish)
Lineage: Eukaryota; Metazoa; Chordata; Actinopteri; Syngnathiformes; Syngnathidae
Source: RefSeq, a predicted model, not a curated record
AAAGUUUGAGGGCGCCACGUUUUCACAGGAGACGGUGGAAGACGACAUGAACAGUCGUUUAACAAGGAAAUUCAUCGGUGUGGAGCCAUAUGGGCAGGUCAUAUGUUUAUCUGACAUUUUUCUGUCACAUUUCCUUAUCUGUUUACGUCAGUGUUAUCAUAUGAAAUACUCGACGUUAGCAUUAGCUUACCUUUAGCCUGCCAGCUAGCUUAGCCUGCCAGCUAGCUAGCUAUCAACUGCGAGCUUUGUGGAGGUGUUUUCGGUUGCAGAACAGGAGAUUUUUAUGUUUAUUAAAUCUUUAAUGAUUAAUUCCUUAUAUGUUAUUCGAUUAUUUCGGCAGCAGCAGUGUCCUCUAAGCCAUGGGAACCGCGUGUAGCUUAAACUACACGCGGUUGAAGUAUGCUAUCGACCUGAGUCUCGUGGAUGCUGUCGCGGAGCGGGAGUUUUUCCUUUGUGAUUCAGUGGAUUCAAUGGUAUUCAAUGGAACUGAAUUGCAAAAUUUCGGCAAUAAGAAGAGCUUGUCCAGACCCUGAAAAUAUAUCAAUAAUGACUGAAACCUGACUGGAAGGAGUAGAAAUUUUGGAGCAAGCGUCUAAGAAGCAGAGUCCUCUCCGUGUGUAAAGCAGCAGCUUGCACCAACUAAGACGCCUGACUGAGAAGAAUAUUGAAGGACUUUGACGCUCAAGAAUUUGGUCUCAAAAGCUUAGACAAGGCACAAGUGCUGACUUGCAGUCGUUUGGCGGCAUGCUGUGUGGAGAUCUUCAUUAAAACCCGACUAACGGCGCAUCUUCCUGCGAGAGAGAUCCAGUGUUUCAUUGAAGAUUAGACUCGUCUGGCCCGGGGACUCUGAUGAGUUCAAACACAAACGGCCAACCCAGUUGAGGACAGGAAGCAGGAUGUCAAAAACGCUCAGGUGGGGUCGCUGUUCUGCCAAUGUUGUGUGAAACGGACUUCGGUAGGAAACCCAUUUCCGCCGCUGGGCAAAAAGUUAUCCCAAUGGUAAGUCAUAAUUAUGAGAUAAAAAGUCACACACUGCGUAUGUACGGGAUACGUACUGCACCUUCUUCACUCGACCCGAUUCAAUUCAGUAGGAUACCCACCUUGCUUACGAUUGUGUCGCCAUUUUAUCUCACAAUUUUUAACACAUAAUUGUGACUUACCAUUAGGAUUAAGUUUUUUUUCAGCCUUCUUUAGACUCCACUCAGUGGCAUCCUUGCAAUCGUAGUGUCUCAUUAGGUGUACCUAAUCUUCUGACCCUGAGGUGAAAUGAAUCAGGCAUGCCAACACAUCUGUGAAGUCCUCGCUUACAGUUUUUCCCCGGCUAAACUUAAGCCCGUUACGCGUUAUCGCUUCACUUCAGCAUCACCUGGAGUCAUUUUCAACCGGAGCCUUUUCAAGCAUCAGAGGUUUAAGCAUCCCUGAGCGCGACCCUUGCACGACCUUGCGCAGACUCAAGCAUCAAGAAUCUCUUUCAUCCCAAACGUCAAUAAGGCUAGAGAAAGCAACAGAUUUACGGUCAAGUCUGCAUGUGGACUAUUUAUACGCCUGGAGUGUUGUUUUUCCAGCAGGUUCUGAUCCACUUGGGUCCUAUUUGACAAAACCGGCCGUCUUGUGUUUGCUUGUGUUUACAGAGCCAGAAGGCUCCUCGCAUUGCCAAGCCUCGUGUCAGUGAUGCCUUUUUCAUUUGUGCUUGUCCAAGGUUGGCCCACGUUUCCCUGAAACACUAAAGGGGGUGUGGGAGGUUCCCCUCUGCUUUCUCCCGGACCAAAAAUGGGCCGAUGAAGCGUGAAAAAAGCGGCAUUUUCUGCCAUAUCUGAGCCCUUCCAGAUCCCGUAAUGCGGGAAAUUUCUCCCGGACUGGAAAAGGGCUGCACGCAAAAAAUUCAUCAAAUAAUCUGCACCUCAGAAUGUGUCUCUCCUUUUUUGCCAUGAGGAUGUGGGAAAUUACCCCCAACUCCCAAAUCACCGCCGAGGAAAAGUGGGAUUUUCUGCCAUUUAGGGGUCCUGCUGGGACCCCCCCAAGGAGGCUGUGGGAGGUUUCCCUCACUUUGUAAACCAGAAAAUAGCAAUGGAAGCAAGACGGAAAGAAAACUAAAUGAUUCCACUGCACUUUUCUGGUGUGGGGGGUCCCAGCAGGACCCCAAAAUGGCAGAAAAUGCCACUGUUCCAAGGCGUGAUUUUUGACAGAAGUUAGCUGGAAGAUAAAUGUGAAAAGGCCGAUGUGCCGCCAUGUUGGACGGACUCACUGCGGCAUAACGUCAUCAUCGUUUAUCCUUGAACGUCACACACGCCCACCUCUUUCUUGUCUCUCCCUUUACCCGGAGGUGUUCAGCAUUUUAAAGCGCACGCAGAGGUAGAUAGAGCCGGAUGCUGACUACCGCCAUCUUGUGUGGCCGUUGAAAAACAAAACAAAAGAAAAAACAACCCAUGAUACUCCCAGUGCAGCUGAUGCCAUCUUGUGGAGUUCAUUUUAAAAAAGGAGGUUGCCUACAGCCACAGCUUUGAAUGUUUUUUUGGUGAUUUGCUUUUGUCGGCCAUGCAUCCUGCGACUGUGAGAGACUCGGCGGUUCAUAAAAAGGGGCUUUGAUUGGAGCGUUUCUGGUAGUUGUUUUUCGACCCCAUACCACUCCUAAUCAUUUGUUUUGGGUUUAUGUGCGCUUUAAAAUGUAAUGGGAGCUUGUUAUGUUGGUCUUCCUGCUGAUUCAGUGAAUCCCUUCAAUCAAUCAAGCGUCUCAUUGAGCACUUUACAUCAUUGAUCCGAUCGCCCCCGGAGGAGGCUUCAAUUUGUUUUAUUCCUGCUGAUGCCGAGACAGCAGCAUCCCAUAAUAAGACUCUUGUUGACACACGGAAGCCCGCUGUGAACAACAGGAGCCUCCAGAGGUCCGCUAAGGAGCCAAAGAAGGCGAGAAGGAGCGAUGGACCUUUUUGAGAGGCCGUGACUCGCAAGUUAAGUUUGCCACAUGAUUUAUGAGUGUUAUUAUUGUCGCCAUGACGACCACCGCUUCCUCGAUUAAACCUCUUUUUGAUCCUCCAGGCAGCCUGAAGAGAAGCAUAUGCGAGCUGUUCCCUUUCUCCAACAGAAUGAAAGGUGUUGUGGUGGCAGCAGCGACCUCCCCCAAGGCCAUAAAGGACCUUUCUCCUGACCCGGAUUAAGUGCUGAUGGCCCACCAUAGGGACGUAAUUAUGCCUCAAUCCUUUAUUGAACAUUAGCAGGGAAUUAUGGAUGGAAAAUGUUCUCCGAUAAAUCAAAUCUAAAUGAGCAGUUUUUUAAAGCUUGGCUGUAAGCUUCCAAUUUCAAUGAAAUAAAUAAAUGCUAGCGAGUGAUUAGCUUCUGAUGGAAUAAUGACUUCAUUCCAAAGCAGAGAAUUAUUCAAGUGAAGCCGAGCUUGUGAAUGGGAUUUGCUGAAGUCUUAUCCUGCCAUCUCGUGGCGGAGGUCGGAACUGCACAGUGAAGAAAAAAAAAAAAAGCUCGUUGAGGAUGACGUCACUGCUGGAGCCAUCGGACAAACCGCUGUCCACAAACACGGAGCCUGCGAAGAUGACCAGAGGAGUUGGGAUGCUAAACGUCGCCCGAAUACGCCCCAAGUCUGCUGUACUUACUGCUGCUGUUGGUGCUGUUGCUGGUGACAGAGGAGCUUCGUGAAGACAGCGGGCGAGGAGCCGAGGCCGAUGAGUUCAAAUCGGCUUCGUGCGUCACAUUACCUGAGUUUUCAGCCAAUCGCAGGCGACCGCAGCACAGGUAGGUUCUCCACUGCCUGCGUACGUUCUCCUUGCAGGCGCAGUGGAAGACAAAGACGAAGAAGCCUACGGGAUUAAAAGUAGCUUCACGCACAGGAAGUGGACACGAGGGCGUGUGCUGUGGGUGAAAUGUGACCUUGCAGGGAGUUGAAGAUGGCGAAGAGGUAGACAAAGGGCAGGUAGAGCGGCCCCCAGGCGAACAGAGCAAAGCCCCAAGCCAGGCCCAGCAGCACCACCAGGCCGGCGAUGCUGCGGAGGUCGGUGGCCAAGCCCCGGUGAGGGGACUGGUUGUGAGGGUUCUGUCUCUUGAUGCGGGACAGCUGGACCAUGACCACCACGAAGACCAGCAGGCACGACGCAAAGAUGAGCAGGAAAGAUGACCACAACCACCACCACGAGAGGAACACCUGCACACAUGAAGAUGUUACCAUUCUGCGUUCCAAACAACGAGACACAUGAAACAGGAUACACACCCCAGCCAACGAGCGAGAACUUGAGCAUGUAUCUGCUGAGGUACGGCGUGAACACCCGCACGAUGCUCAGGUACAUGUGCAGGGCCUCCAGCCCGGCCCAGGUGAAGGAGGUCAGCAGGAAGUAGUGCAGGAAGAAGGCGGUGCUGAUGCAAAGGCCGGGGGCCGGAUACAGCGCCAGCCAGCCGUCCAGCAGGUAGACCAGGUUGAGGAAGAGGAGGGAGAAGCAGAGCUGGACCAAGAUCUUGGCUGGAAUGUCCCUCAACAGCUUCCUGCACGGGAACAACAGCGUUUAAAGGACAGGAGAAUAAAUAAUAAGAACUUAAGUGCUUUAUUUACGUGUCUUACACAAAGGAAAGGUAAGUCAGUAAGGUGGCGGCAAGAAAAAUAGCCGAAAUGCCGCAGCCGAUAUAGGUGAUGAAGGUGAGAAUUUGUGCCUGCUGGGGGUCUCGUAUCCCCUCUCUGGAGAGGUCCUGUAUUAGGACAGAACAGGGGUGCUACACCACGGUACCAUGAUGUUGUCUCACUGAUUCAAUAAGAAGACUGACCAGCAGAAUGGCGAAGGAGGUGAGGUGGUCGCAGGUGCAGGUCGUCCCCCAUGGAGUGGAGUUCACCACAAAGCAGCCGUCCGAACUCCAACCUCCUGCACCAUCUAAGAAAUAUAAAAGUGAUUAAUAUUAAUUGACAGAAUUGAAAUGGACAAUAUACGUAUAUUCUUACCAU